CCUACGGGUGGCAGCAGUAAGGAAUAUUGGUCAAUGGAGGAAACUCUGAACCAGCCAUCCCGCGUGAAGGAUGAAGGGGCUCUGCCUUGUAAACUUCUUUUGUCUGGGGCGAAAAAGCUCGAUUUAUCGAGAACUGACGGUACCAGAAGAAUAAGCACCGGCUAACUCCGUGCCAGCAGCCGCGGUAAUACGGAGGGUGCAGGCGUCAUCCGGAAUCAAGGGGGUGAAGGGGUGUUAGUACGGCUUUGGUGAAAGGCUGGGGCUUAACCAUGGAAUUGCCAUUGAUACUGCAGAGCUUGAAUGAGGUUGAGGUUGGCGGAAUGUGACAUGUAGCGGUGAAAUGCUUAGAUAUGUCAUGGAACACCGAUUGCGAAGGCAGCUGACUGGACCUAUAUUGACGCUGAGGCACGAAAGCGUGGGGAGCGAACAGGAUUAGAUACCCUUGUAGUC
Molecule: ribosomal RNA, 450 nt
Filed under: uncultured bacterium
Lineage: Bacteria
Description: partial 16S ribosomal RNA
Rfam family: Bacterial small subunit ribosomal RNA
Source: RNAcentral